AGAAAUACAAUGACAAGAACAAGUAAAUUUGUUGCUACUUUAGAGAGUCUCUGGUUGGUGAGAAGAGAUAGUGACACAAGUUGAAACACAUCUUGGAGUUGAUUCUCUGAAUGAAGUAAGAGAAUUCGGGAGGCCCGUUACAGCUGCAGUCAUUUGAAUGAAUAUGACUCAUUGAGGUUUUUGUUGCAAGACAAAAACAAAAAAAGGUGGAACCGCGUAAUUACGCCCUUUAG
This 233-nucleotide non-coding RNA is filed under the name Enterococcus italicus. RNAcentral's name for it is "T-box sequence". It matches the Rfam family "T-box leader". Rfam says of the family: Uncharged tRNA acts as the effector for transcription antitermination of genes in the T-box leader family. T-boxes are found upstream of many aminoacyl-tRNA synthetase genes and some amino acid biosynthetic genes usually in Gram-positive bacteria. Lineage: Bacteria; Bacillati; Bacillota; Bacilli; Lactobacillales; Enterococcaceae. The record is from RNAcentral.